Podarcis muralis (Common wall lizard) is the source of this 4857-nucleotide RNA transcript. It is a transcript of the gene named PWWP domain containing 2A, with no coding region annotated. Lineage: Eukaryota; Metazoa; Chordata; Lepidosauria; Squamata; Lacertidae. The record is from RefSeq and is a predicted model, not a curated record.
CGGCGUCCCCCUCCCUUGCCAGGCGGGCGAAGAAGGCCGCGGUUAUCGAUCCCGCUGCUGACUAGAGGGAGGAGGAAGCAUCAGCAGAGAAAAUGGCGGCCGUGGCUGCGACUGCGGCGGUGCCGGGUGAUGGUGGAGCCGGCGAGGCCGAGCCCAUCCCGGGCAGCGAGGCCGGCGCAGACCCGCUCCCGGCUGGCACUCAGGCCGCCGUGGAGUCGGCGGUGCUCGACGCCCGGGAGGAGCCCGAGCCAGCCCCGGGGGGAGAGGCCGAGGUGCCGCCGCCGCCGCCGCCGCCCGGGAGCCCAGCGGGGACCCGAGACCUGCCGCAGGCCCAGCCCAGCCCGGAGCCCGUCGGAGGGUCGCCUCAGCCGCCCGGCCCGCUCACCGCGGAGCUCUCCGAGCUCCCCCCCGGCGAGGAGGCGGAGGGACAAGGCGGAGGGGAGCAGCCGCCCUGCUUGCCGCUGUCGCCGCCGCCGCCUGCAGCUGGGGGCCCCGCGGGGCCGGAGCCCGGAGAGGAACCGCCCCGGCCGGAGGAGGAGGAGCCGGAUGCUGCCGCCACCGCCGUUGCGAAGCAGCCGGAGCUCUCUGCGCCCGCGGAGCAGGCGGUGGCCGCUGGAGGAGAGGAAGAUGAGGAGGAGGAAGCGGCGGCGGUGCUGCUGCCCGGCUCGGAGGUGCUGGUCACCCUGGAUCACAUCAUCGAGGACGCGCUGGUGGUGUCUUUCCGAUUCGGGAAGAAGCUUUUUUCCGGGGUCCUCAUGGAUCUUUCCAAGAGGUUUGGACCGCACGGAAUCCCUGUGACCAUAUUUCCCAAAAGGGAGUACAAGGAUAAUCCUGAAGCGAUGGAGCUCCAAAGUAAAUCAUUCCAAGAUGAGACCCAAGUGAAGUGUGAAGCCAAUGGUGUAGUCACAGACUCUUCUCCCAUCCAGCCAUCAGAGCCUAGCCUGGCUAAAAGCCUAUGGACUUCCAAGCCACCUCCCCUUUUUCACGAGGGAGCACCAUAUCCUCCUCCUUUGUUUAUCAGGGACACAUAUAACCAGUCAAUACCUCAGCCUCCGCCUCGGAAAAUCAAACGGCCCAAGCGGAAAAUGUACAGGGAGGAACCCACUUCUAUUAUGAAUGCUAUCAAACUACGACCCAGACAGGUCUUGUGUGACAAGUGUAAGAACAGUAUUGUUGCAGAAAAGAAAGAAAUUAAGAAGGGCAGCAGUACAAGUGAUUCCUCAAGGUAUGAGGAUAAUAGAAAACGAAGACAUGAGAGCGUAACUACUGUGAAUAAAAAAAUUAAAACUGAUCAUAAAGUUGAUGGGAAAAGCCAAAAUGAAAGCCAGAAAAGGAAUUCCGUGGUCAAAGUUGCAAAUAUUGCUCACAGCAGAAGUAGAGUAGUCAAAGUUACCACUCAAGCAAAUACUUCAAAAACGCAGUUAAAUACUAAAAAGGUUCUCCAGAGCAAAAACAUGGAUCAUGCAAAAGCUCGGGAAGUUUUGAAAAUAGCCAAAGAGAAGGCACAAAAGAAACAGAGUGCAACCUCUACUUCCAAAAAUGCACAUUCAAAGGUCCACUUCACACGGCGUCUUCAAAACACCAGCUCAGGUUCCCUGCCCCCACGAUUGCGUCUAAAGCCACAAAGGUACCGAAAUGAAGAAAACGACUCCUCUCUCAAGACAGGGCUUGAGAAAUUGCAGAGUGGCAAGAUGGCAGCUAAGCCUCAGUCUCGCUGCUCCUCUACCCGCUCAGCAGGUGAGGCCCCUUCAGAAAAUCAGAGCCCCUCAGAAGGCCCUGAAGAGGCCAGCAGUGAGGUUCAGGACACAAAUGAAGUGCAUGUACCUGUUGAUCAGGAUGAACAGCAGACACUGGGCAAGAGAGGCAGCAAAAGCAAUAUAACGGUUUACAUGACCCUUAAUAAAAAGAAAUCUGACUCUUCCAGUGCAUCAGUGUGUAGUAGUGAUAGCACAGAUGACUUGAAGUCCACCAACUCUGAGUGUAGCACUACUGAAAGCUUUGAUUUUCCUCCAGGCAGCAUGCAUGCACCUUCCUCCUCCUCCUCCUCGUCCUCUUCAAAGGAAGAGAAAAAGCUCAGUAAUUCCUUGAAAAUGAAAGUCUUUUCAAAAAAUGUCACUAAAUGUGUCACACCAGAUGGCAGGACCAUAUGUGUAGGAGACAUUGUUUGGGCCAAGAUAUAUGGCUUCCCAUGGUGGCCAGCCCGUAUUCUUUCUAUAACUGUGAGCCGAAAAGAUAACGGCCUCUUAGUCCGACAGGAAGCUCGUAUUUCAUGGUUUGGGUCCCCAACAACAUCUUUCCUUGCUCUUUCACAGCUCUCCCCUUUUUUAGAAAACUUUCAGUCGCGAUUUAAUAAGAAGAGAAAAGGUCUUUACCGCAAGGCCAUUACAGAAGCAGCCAAGGCUGCUAAGCAGCUAACUCCUGAAGUUCGGGCCCUGCUGACACAGUUUGAAACAUGAACAUGAGAAGUAAGCCUAGGUUUUCUUCAUUUUCAUGGCUUCAGUCCCUUGGCGCUUCCAGAAGCACAGAGACAUUAAUCGCCUGCUGUAUUUAUGGAACCUCCCUACACUGCCAUGAAGAAGGUCAGCUGGCCAGGCAUGAUAUACAACUGAAAUCUAGAUUGCAGUGUAUACUGGGAGAGAACUUUUUACAAAAACCACCACACCCCUUUUCCAGGGCAUCUGUACUUACUGUAAAUUUACUUUGGAAUUUGAAGUGUUAGAAAUAUUUUAUAAACUUUUUUUGCAAUAAAUAAGGCAUGAGCCAAGGAGCCUGUUCAAGAUGAACUUGCAAGGAACCACUUGAAUUACUAGUAUGAAGAAUCACAAAGUGUACUCUUACUCUUCAAAUGUGAUAGUCUGAAUAGGCCCUAGCAGUGGAGUCAAGACCUCUGGAAAGUUGGCUGUAAACUUCUGAACAUUUACUUUUGUUCUUACUGUGUGUUAUUUCACAUCUUAACAAACUUUAGUAUUUGGUGCAGGUGUUAGCAGAGCUGUAACCUAUUUCUGGAAGCACGUCCACAUUCAGCUGUGGUGUUAAGUACUGACAGUCCUGUUUGGAGGCAAAGGUUUCCCCUAGAGAUGGUGGUAAGGGCAGCGACAGUGAACUCCAUGUAAUUCUUGAGUAAUUAUGGCAAAUCUUUGCUGUUGUGGGAAAUGUUUCUUUGAUGGCCACGAAGAUCAUUCUGUAAAAUGCAGGAAUCACUGACAAUACACAAAUGUCUGUGUGCUUGUGAUUCUCUAGCAGUAGUCACCCUAAAGGACAGCUACAGCUAAGAUAGGGUAGUAACUGGUAUCCAAAGUCAUGUUUCCUUUCUAGUGAAGGAACAUAUUGCACAUUAAAUUAGUCCUGACUUGGUUGUGACUAACUUAUUCAUAACAGCCCGCUGUUAGAUUGGGGUUUUAGCAUUUCUAAAGUUAGUUGGUUUACAAGCCCUCUCCAAUAUAACAAGUCUUAACUCUUAUCUGCAGGACUUGAGUAUUUAACUGUCAGAUGGUUCCACAUUUCAAUGGAAUUCAACCUAGUUUUCCACAGGAUUGCACUCACUAUUAAAAUCUGCUUUUCAUAUUACCCAGGUAUAAAACCUUAAUUUGCAUUUAGUUUAUUAACAGCAGAUCAGGAUUCCCAGGAAGCUUGAUAAACACAAGUCAAAAUGAAUGCACAAUCUGAUGAAGUACAUAUAAACUAUGACAAUGCCAUCUACACAAGAGUUAAGUCUUGUAUGGCAUUAAGGUAACCAUCUACAGAUUAACAAAAUAUCUCUCUUUUCCAAAGUUACCCAUACCAGCAAAUACAAGCUGAAGUCUUGGCUUCAUAAUUUCCAUGCAUGUUGUAAUUAUACAAGAUUUUUUCCCUUGGCUUUGACAGAUUUAUAUUUUUAAAUAGCAUUCUAAACAUGGGAAAGAUGUAUGAGUUAGUAUAUUACAAUGCAAUUCUAUAUUAAAUAUUUACUAAAAAUGUCUGUGAAAACAUUUAAAAUUUUAUUUAUAAAAACAGUUCAUAGCACCUUUUUAAGAGGUUCAACUGUACCAGUUUUCUAAAGAAAUUAGAGAGGAUGUUUAAAGGACAACAAGCAAUUGCUUUGCAGUAGUCUUUCUACAAUAGUCAAAGCAAAAGAGAAAUAAAGUAUACUCUACAAUUUUCCAGCAAGAUUAGCUUAUUUGGGCAAGGUAAAAAGGUACUGCAGCGAGUCAGUGCAGUGUAGUUAAGACAAAAAUAAGCAUCCUUUUUAUUUAAAAGCAGGGUUGGGUGACUUCACUGGAGAAGGUGCACAUACCUUAGGAGGUAACCAUGGCACAAAAUGAUAGUUUUGACUCAGGAAAAUGGUGUUGGCUGUACAAAUAAGGGUACAUAUCUGGAUUGAUAAUGGGUGGAGCCAGUAGUGCCUGCAUAGACAUCUUACUUUUAGCCUGUGCUCCUAUUCCUUCUCCUUCAAGAGCACAACCGCUGCCCAUUUACAUCCAUGACACUGUACGAAGUGGUAGAACUACAGGUUUAUGGGCAAAAUAAAGACAGCAAGGUUGGAAAAUGGACAAAAUGGCUAGUUGGUACUUACUCAUGAAGAAUUGAGAAACUACAGCCACCUUGUUUUUCACUUUGAAAUGAUUGUCAGGGAAAAAUUGUAGUGGUAGAAGUAAUGUAUUGCUUUUCACCCUUUUGCUUUAGUUGCUUAAUAUUUAAGCUUUGCUCCAUGUUACCUUUUUUGUCUUGUUUGCUAUGUCACUAUGCCUCCUUCAUUUGGUAGACUUGAAUGAGGAAAAAUGAUUCAACUUUUAAGGGUCACUUGAAAUUAAUUGUUCAAGAAUGUUGUGUACCAUCUAUUCAAUAAAGCCUUGAUUUUUUUCCUGCACUUUUAAAAAA